Molecule: long non-coding RNA, 673 nt
Filed under: Setaria viridis
Lineage: Eukaryota; Viridiplantae; Streptophyta; Magnoliopsida; Poales; Poaceae
Description: long non-coding RNA (SVIR_LNC011147)
Source: RNAcentral
GGAAUUAUAUGGGAUUGUGCACAGACUAUAGUCGAGCUUCAGACUAAUAUCCCCAGUCGACUCCCUCCCCCUUUUGUUGGUCUCAAAUGUUUAUAGAAAUGCGGAAAGCAAUCAAUUUAAUACAAUGUGAGUCAACAUUGGGGGUCUAUUAGUGCAUUACCGAGGGUGAAAUCAAAGGCAUAAAAGGGUUCCAAAGUCAUAAGCCAGGAGCUAACAUGCAUCCACGUCCUAGGUGGUGGAGGAAGAGAAGAGAAGAGAUGCGACCUAGGGUAAGUGAGGGAGAGGGGAAGAGAGAAACAAGAGGGGGGAACGUGUGCAAAAACUGACUUCAUGCCUUCACUGGUCAACAAUGGCAGUAACAACAACUGGCCUAGAUUUUGGUGGGGUGCAGCUACGGGCGGGGUGGGUGUCCCUUGAGUCGCUCCGAGUGCGACACGGGGACCUCUUCUAUCCUCAACUUGAUAUAUAUACACUAACAAUUGUUGUCAAAAUAUGUUGUGUAUUAUGAGAAUGUAUAGAAAAUGCACGAAUUGACAUAGGAACAAAAACAUUAAAUGAUGACUUUGUCAGGUCCAUUAGAAACAGAACAAUUACUAUCUACUCCCUCAGUUUGUAUUUGUAAGGCACACAUGCAUAUCAAGAUUCAAAGUUUACAAUAUUUGACCAAUAAUUU